GGCGGUCGGGUGAGUAAUGCGUAGGAAUUUACCUCAAAGCGGGGGAUAGCCCGGAGAAAUCCGGAUUAAUACCGCAUGUGCUCUACGGAGGAAAGCGGGCCUCUACUUGUAAGCUCGCACUUUGAGAUAAGCCUACGUCGGAUUAGCUUGUUAGUGGGGUAAAAGCCUACCAAGGCGACGAUCCGUAGCUGGUUUGAGAGGAUGAUCAGCCACACUGGGACUGAGACACGGCCCAG
RNAcentral lists this ribosomal RNA (236 nucleotides) under uncultured bacterium. RNAcentral's name for it is "partial 16S ribosomal RNA". It matches the Rfam family "Bacterial small subunit ribosomal RNA", at positions 97 to 334 of the family's 1533-position model. The record is from RNAcentral.